This 105-nucleotide small RNA is filed under the name bovine gut metagenome. RNAcentral describes it as "RT-5 RNA". It matches the Rfam family "RT-5 RNA". Rfam says of the family: Clostridium (Firmicutes). Environment (Cow rumen (57)) The record is from RNAcentral.
UUGCGCCUGGGACGGACCCGGCCCGGACCAUGUGACGGCUUCCCAGGCAGCCGGUCCCGGUACGGUCUCGUACAUCCAAGAAUUUUCUUGGAUUUAAUGAUUUCU